UGGGGAAUUUUGGACAAUGGGGGAAACCCUGAUCCAGCCAUCCCGCGUGUGCGAUGAAGGCCUUCGGGUUGUAAAGCACUUUUUGCAGGAAAGAAACGUCAUGGGUUAAUACCCCGUGAAACUGACGGUACCUGCAGAAUAAGCACCGGCUAACUACGUGCCAGCAGCCGCGGUAAUACGUAGGGUGCAAGCGUUAAUCGGAAUUACUGGGCGUAAAGCGUGCGCAGGCGGUUCGGAAAGAAAGAUGUGAAAUCCCAGAGCUCAACUUUGGAACUGCAUUUUUAACUACCGGGCUAGAGUGUGUCAGAGGGAGGUGGAAUUCCGCGUGUAGCAGUGAAAUGCGUAGAUAUGCGGAGGAACACCGAUGGCGAAGGCAGCCUCCUGGGAUAACACUGACGCUCAUGCAAGAAAGCGUGGGGAGCAAACAGG
Molecule: ribosomal RNA, 429 nt
Filed under: Acidobacteriota bacterium
Lineage: Bacteria; Pseudomonadati; Acidobacteriota
Description: Acidobacteria bacterium partial 16S ribosomal RNA
Rfam family: Bacterial small subunit ribosomal RNA
Source: RNAcentral